GAGGCCGAGAAGCGCUGCAACGGGCUCCAGACCCGCCACGCUCGGCCUUGUACGACCAUGAACAAGGGCGCUUCCGACUU
RNAcentral lists this non-coding RNA (80 nucleotides) under Lentzea aerocolonigenes. RNAcentral's name for it is "Lechevalieria aerocolonigenes SAH sequence". It matches the Rfam family "SAH (S-adenosyl-L-homocysteine) riboswitch aptamer". The record is from Rfam by way of RNAcentral. Lineage: Bacteria; Bacillati; Actinomycetota; Actinomycetes; Pseudonocardiales; Pseudonocardiaceae.